GACGAACGCUGGCGGCGUGCCUAAUACAUGCAAGUAGAACGCUGAAGGAAGGAGCUUGCUCUUUCCGGAUGAGUUGCGAACGGGUGAGUAACGCGUAGGUAACCUGCCUGGUAGCGGGGGAUAACUAUUGGAAACGAUAGCUAAUACCGCAUAACAGUAGAUGUUGCAUGAUAUCUACUUAAAAGGUGCAAUUGCACCACUACCAGAUGGACCUGCGUUGUAUUAGCUAGUUGGUGAGGUAACGGCUCACCAAGGCGACGAUACAUAGCCGACCUGAGAGGGUGAUCGGCCACACUGGGACUGAGACACGGCCCAGACUCCUACGGGAGGCAGCAGUAGGGAAUCUUCGGCAAUGGACGGAAGUCUGACCGAGCAACGCCGCGUGAGUGAAGAAGGUUGUCGGAUCGUAAAGCUCUGUUGUAAGAGAAGAACGAGUGUGAGAGUGGAAAGUUCACACUGUGACGGUAUCUUACCAGAAAGGGACGGCUAACUACGUG
This 497-nucleotide ribosomal RNA is filed under the name uncultured bacterium. Its description in RNAcentral is "partial 16S ribosomal RNA". It matches the Rfam family "Bacterial small subunit ribosomal RNA", at positions 28 to 507 of the family's 1533-position model. The record is from RNAcentral.